RNAcentral lists this transfer RNA (72 nucleotides) under Crassvirales sp. RNAcentral's name for it is "tRNA-Ala". It matches the Rfam family "tRNA". From Rfam's summary of the family: Transfer RNA (tRNA) molecules are approximately 80 nucleotides in length. Their secondary structure includes four short double-helical elements and three loops (D, anti-codon, and T loops). Lineage: Duplodnaviria; Heunggongvirae; Uroviricota; Caudoviricetes; Crassvirales. The record is from RNAcentral.
GGGGUCAUAGUAUAAAGGCAAUUAUUCUAGAUUUGCAUUCUAGGGAUCUGAGUUCGAUUCUCAGUGGCUCCA